This 376-nucleotide ribosomal RNA is filed under the name uncultured bacterium. Its description in RNAcentral is "bacterial SSU rRNA". It matches the Rfam family "Bacterial small subunit ribosomal RNA", at positions 523 to 898 of the family's 1533-position model. The record is from RNAcentral.
AUACGUAGGGAGCGAGCGUUGUCCGGAUUUACUGGGUGUAAAGGGUGCGUAGGCGGCUGAACAGGUCAGGUGUGAAAACCAUCGGCUCAACUGAUGGAUUGCACUUGAAACUGUGCAGCUUGAGUGAAGCAGAGGCAGGCGGAAUUCCCGGUGUAGCGGUGAAAUGCGUAGAGAUCGGGAGGAACACCAGUGGCGAAGGCGGCCUGCUGGGCUUUAACUGACGCUGAGGCACGAAAGCAUGGGUAGCAAACAGGAUUAGAUACCCUGGUAGUCCAUGCCGUAAACGAUGAUUACUAGGUGUGGGUGGUCUGACCCCAUCCGUGCCGGAGUUAACACAAUAAGUAAUCCACCUGGGGAGUACGGCCGCAAGGUUGAA